RNAcentral lists this ribosomal RNA (445 nucleotides) under uncultured bacterium. Its description in RNAcentral is "bacterial SSU rRNA". It matches the Rfam family "Bacterial small subunit ribosomal RNA", at positions 354 to 796 of the family's 1533-position model. The record is from RNAcentral.
GUGAGGAAUAUUGGUCAAUGGACGCAAGUCUGAACCAGCCAAGUCGCGUGAUGGAUGACUGCCUUAUGGGUUGUAAACAUCUUUUAUUAGGGGGUAAAGUGUACUACGUGUAGUAUUUUGCAAGUACCUAAUGAAUAAGCAUCGGCUAACUCCGUGCCAGCAGCCGCGGUAAUACGGAGGAUGCGAGCGUUAUCCGGAUUUAUUGGGUUUAAAGGGUGCGCAGGCGGGAUUGUAAGUCAGUGGUGAAAUCUGGACGCUCAACGUUCAACUUGCCAUUGAAACUGUGAUUCUUGAGUGUGGUUGAAGUAGGCGGAAUUCGUUGUGUAGCGGUGAAAUGCAUAGAUAUAACGAGGAACUCCAAUUGCGUAGGCAGCUUACUAAGCCAUUACUGACGCUCAUGCACGAAAGUGUGGGUAUCGAACAGGAUUAGAAACCCUAGUAGUCC